GAUGAAGAACGUAGCGAAAUGCGAUAAGUAGUGUGAAUUGCAGAAUUCAGUGAAUCAUCGAAUCUUUGAACGCACAUUGCGCCUCUCGGUAUUCCGGGAGGCACGCCUGUUCGAGCGCCAUUACACACCCCAAGCGCGGCUUGAUGUUGGACGAUGUCUGUGACAGGACACGUCUGGAACGCGUUGGCGCCGCCGACGGACCACGAGCGUAGCAAGACGCAAGUCAUCGCUGUGUUGGACUCCGACGGUUGGCAGUCUGGGAGGGCGCGAAGGGGUUACCCGACGCAGCUCUCGAACCCAUCACGAGUUUGGCCUCGGAUCAGGCGGGGAUACCCGCUGAACUUAAGCAUAUCAAUAAGCGGAGGA
This 366-nucleotide unclassified non-coding RNA is filed under the name soil metagenome. RNAcentral's name for it is "partial contains 5.8S ribosomal RNA, internal transcribed spacer 2, and large subunit ribosomal RNA". The stretch from base 1 to 120 matches the Rfam family "5.8S ribosomal RNA", at positions 35 to 154 of the family's 154-position model. The record is from RNAcentral.